RNAcentral lists this ribosomal RNA (158 nucleotides) under Cupriavidus necator. RNAcentral's name for it is "partial ribosomal RNA". It matches the Rfam family "Bacterial small subunit ribosomal RNA", at positions 1211 to 1368 of the family's 1533-position model. The record is from RNAcentral. Lineage: Bacteria; Pseudomonadati; Pseudomonadota; Betaproteobacteria; Burkholderiales; Burkholderiaceae.
GGGCUUCACACGUCAUACAAUGGUGCGUACAGAGGGUUGCGACCGCGCGAGGGGGAGCUAAUCCCAGAAAACGCAUCGUAGUCCGGAUCGUAGUCUGCAACUCGACUACGUGAAGCUGGAAUCGCUAGUAAUCGUGGAUCAGCAUGCCACGGUGAAUA